UGAAGGGGUGCCGAUAAUUCUGGUGCCCAACGCGUCUCAGACGUUGAUUUGCAAGUUUGACCAUAAAAAAAAAAAAUAUAUAUAUAUAUAUAUAUAAAUAAAUAAAUAAGAAAGGCAGCAAUGAUUUUGCCGAAAAAGGUGGGAGGUGAGCUGGGUUCUACCCCAGGAAAAGGAGGUGCUGGAGUCCAUGAACGUGCGUAGCCGACUUCACUGACGAUGGAUCUCACAUGCAAUUUGCAAGAGUGGAACUUUAUCAUUUUGGUUUUAUGCGACAAAGGGCAUAUCUUUACUUUGCCAUGCAAAUCUCGACUUCGGCAAAAGUCUCCAUGGAGACCCACCAAGGCUACCUACUACUCUAAUACUAUUAUAUUUCUCUCUCUUAUAUUAUUACAUUUUAAAAAGUGCAGGGGCAUAUCUUUACUUUGCCAUGCAAAUCUCGACUUAGGCAAAAGUCUCCAUGGAGACCCACCAAGGCUACCUACUACUCUUAUACUAUUAUAUUUCUCUCUCUUA
Long non-coding RNA from Carya illinoinensis, 513 nucleotides. RefSeq lists it as uncharacterized. The transcript has 2 exons. Lineage: Eukaryota; Viridiplantae; Streptophyta; Magnoliopsida; Fagales; Juglandaceae. The record is from RefSeq and is a predicted model, not a curated record.